UUGAUUCGACCCUUUUAUAAGGUCUCUUUGCCUAGAGAAAACUCGUAUACAGAGUAUCCUAUAUGAAGACAUCUCGAAAAAUAUUAAAUUUUUUCGGAGUUUUCGAUAAUUUACGAAACAGACAUUCCAGAAACCGUUAUUUUUUACCGCCGUUAGUUCGUCGAUACAUUCCGCUUUUGAGGUUCGGGUGAGGGGGUGAGUAGUGGACCGGUAUUUAAAUGCUGCGUGCCGCGCUGUCACACAAAUGAUGCCCCACUACUCUUCCCGUACCCAAACAAAGAAAUCAAAUGCUCGUCAACCGGUCCACGGAAAUUAAAAAU
Non-coding RNA from Cinara cedri, 320 nucleotides. The record is from the annotation of a GenBank genome assembly. Lineage: Eukaryota; Metazoa; Arthropoda; Insecta; Hemiptera; Aphididae.